Long non-coding RNA from Dermochelys coriacea (leatherback sea turtle), 3370 nucleotides. RefSeq lists it as uncharacterized. The transcript is spliced from 2 exons. Lineage: Eukaryota; Metazoa; Chordata; Testudines; Dermochelyidae. The record is from RefSeq and is a predicted model, not a curated record.
AGCCAUAUGUGUAGCCAUACCUGAGCUAGUUCCAAAAAUAAUUUCAAUGAAGCUGCAGUAGCACCAGCUGUACAACACUGAGUGGGACUUGGCUUCAUUGCUAUUGUUACUCGAGCUAGCGAAAUCAAAGCUAACUCCUCCUGUCUACGUGUGCUGUAGCCAUACCUCUGACUGCAGUGCAGCGACUUAGUUAUAUAUGUGCAACUGUGAGCAGACUCUUAUAGUUUCUCAUGGGAGAUCAUUUUAAGAGACUGAAUAUUGAUGAUGUGACGCACACUGGCUAAAAGAAGAAAAUUCCAACCUCAGCUUGAUAGUUGGGGUACUUUUUCAAAGGGCUGCACAAAAAGGUUAACUUCGUCUCUUCCAUUUGACACUAAUGGAAUUGACUCAAGUCUCAAUAAGCUAUUCUAAGAGGGUAAAAUUCACCUUACUUACAAGGCUAACAUCGUACCUCUGAACAAUGUAAGUCUGACUGCAUUCCUGAUGAGAUGAACUUAGAAUGGUGUCAUUUGGCUUAACCAGAGAGAGAGAUUCUCUGUUGACUCACCUGCCGUAGUUGUGUCCUCUGGACCACCAAGAACCUGUUUGGUAUCUAGGCUGUACUCAUGUGUCAGAUGAACAUUCACAUGCUAAGCACAACCAGAUGGUGCAGGAUUCUGGCAGCUGGUUAUGUUGACUCUGAUGAUUGGCCAACAGUCGGUAGAGAUACCCAGAGUUGGCAUUACUGAGUAUCAUGUCAGGCCCCCAAAAUCAUGAGAUUUUUUUAAAAAAAAAAAUAAGUAAUUGUGAAGGUUUUUUUUGUCCUCUGAUUCCUUAGCCUCCAUGACAUAAUUUGGUCACGUUUUCAACCUUUUCUCUCCAACCAUGAGAGCUGGAAGCUUACAUUUUAUUAACAAUGGCUGAGAUUAUGCCCUAAUUAUACAAUACCAGCAGCUGGGAAAAACUCACAAGAGUCAUAAAAUCAAGAGAGCCAGUCACAGUGAAUACCAGUCCUGUGCAAUUCUUUGAAAUGUUCAUUCUUCAUGGCAUUCUGGAAAAUGCAACCCGACACUAUCUCAAAGAGCUUUGUGUGUUCUCCUGGUGAGACUGCCUGGAAAAUGGUAUGUCCCAACAAGAGCAGUGCAAGUGUCUCCUCCCUGGUUCUCAUCACCGACUCCAUUGGGAUGUACUGUCUGUAGUUAUCGGCCUGUAGAGUGAAGGAGUACUCUUAUCCUUCAGAGAUCUCGGUACCUCUUUCAAAGCAGUUGAAAUGUGGAUUCAGGAUUUAUUGUACAGUAUGUAUGUUACUGCCAAAAUGCAGAAGACGGAGCUGCAAGGCAAGAAACCGCACACUCAUACCACCUUGUGCUAACCAGAGGUAGGACUUACUUAGCAGACUUAAUAUUUUGGAUGUUAGACUUGGCAGGUAAUGGUGAAGGAGGAAUGGUAACUCAAUAGGUCUCAGUGAGAACUGUUUGCUGCUUAGGACUCUUGAAAAUCAGGCAGGUGCCUAAAUAUGGUAUCCAGGAGCCCAACUUCAGGCUCCUGUUUUAGAAAAUCUUGGCACCUGAUUAAAUUCCUUGUGCACUUUCAAUUGGACACUAUAUUCUUUUUCAUUUCCUGCCAUAGGUUGAGGUGCAGGGUUAAUUACAAAAUUUCACCGCAGUAGGUGCAUUUCAGUGGCAGGUGCAGCAAUCCCUAAACAUAGGACUAGGCACAAGACCUGAGUAAGGGGCGGUGCUACCCCAGCAGCAGGCCAGAAGGAGGCGGAGAGGUACGCUAUGCUUCCUGCUUCCAGCCCUGCUCUUGCUCUGGAGGGGAAGUCAUCUGUGGCAGCCCUAUAGCUUGCCUGAGUACUGUGCCUUCUCAGCUGCAUUAGCUGGCAUGUUUGGGGGGAGGAAGAAACAGACACCACCCACUCUUUGCCCACACGUGCAGAAAGGAAAGUAGCAGCUGUACCCAGGCUACACCACCUGCAGCAAUGCCGUGACCCACAAUAAGCACAACCUGUACAGGGAAGGAAGGGAAUGUGGGCUCGUGCCAUGUGUCACCGUUGCACCCACAGCAUGCAUAUCCGUUCUGAAAAGCCUUUUGGGUUGCUAAAAGGUUCUAUACAAAUGCGAAGGACUGUGGAAUUUAAUCUGCAAAGGUCACCAUGACGAGCAAGGACUCGGAAUCAAGGAGAUCAAAAGGCAAGGAAAUGAAGAAACAGGAGAGUGGGGAGAAAAAACAGGAGAGUGGGGAGAAAAGCAAACAGGAGAAGGCACAACCAGCCCCGUGACCUUUCCUUUAGACUAGGCUUCUGCUCUCCUUUUCAGUCCCUCAGAGGGGGUAUGCAGACCCCCACUGGGCUCCUGGGGGUUAAAAGGCAAUACUGGAUUCAGAUAGCCCUACCCCUCCAGUCUGCGAAGCAUGCUCCAUCUGGAGGAGCAGGUUAACAGGAGCUCAGAAGGCCAGAUAAAGGGCUGCUGGGCAGGUUGCAGGAGAGACAAAGCUUCACCUGAGAGGCCAGACAGAAGGUGGAGCCUGAGAAGGGACCACAGAGCGGGUAGGGGCCACAGGCAGAACCUUCUCCAACCACCCCCCACUUGGAGAAUCGGCAGCUUCUGCAGAGCCCUGCUCACUUGGACUCUUUGUUACUCUACUGACUGUUUGGGCUGUAGGAGCCACGCCCCAAACUGAAGGAGCACAAAGGUAGGAAACAGCCCAGGGUGGCAGAUGUAGGCUCUCUGCAGGGAAGACCCUGCUGAUGUUGCUUUCCACAGGACCCUGGGUGGGACCCGAUGGAGAGGGAGGGCCUGGGUCUCCCUAACACCCUCCCCCUUAAGGGCAAAGUCCCAGGUGUGGGUGGAGUCCAAAACACUCCUACCCUAAGACCUGGAAAUAGGCAUAUCUACAGCUCCCUGAUAAAGAGCCAAGGGGCUGGAGGUCAGAUGUGCUUACUGCUAGGCCACCUGGCCCUCUGAGCACCCAAUUGUACUCUCUGCUAUGCCCUCCCUUAUAUUCAGCAGUUGUGUUUGGUAACAAGGUUACAUAGGGAGGAGUCAUUUGCUCAGGUCUGGCCAGAAGAAUACCAGAUGCAUCAUAAGGGAACAUUGGACUAGCUGCUGAAGCUCCGAACUAUAGGACUGGACAACAGGCCAGGUUCUGAUCACAUUUAUGACCACUUGUCUCUCUAGUGUAACAUCAUCAGCUUCAAUUCAGUUGCGCCUAAGUGACUCUAUUGGUUUGAAUGGAUUUGCACCUGUUUACACCAGAACUGAUUUGACCCUUUUUCCUUACCUGACCUACUUUUCCCAUUGCUGACUUAAAAUGGAUGUUUGCAUUUGUAUUAGCAACCAGAUUCCACUGUAGUAAGCCGCAUUAUAAAGGAGUGAAAUACAUAGACACA